Molecule: long non-coding RNA, 705 nt
Filed under: Coturnix japonica (Japanese quail)
Lineage: Eukaryota; Metazoa; Chordata; Aves; Galliformes; Phasianidae
Description: lncRNA (ENSCJPG00005004797.1)
Source: RNAcentral
CAUAGAUCCCCUAUCAGCCCCAUAACCCACAGCCAGCCCCAUAGAUCUCACCCUCAGAUCCCUUACCAGCCCCACAGAUCCCCUACAGGCCCCAUAGAUUCCCUACCAGCCCCAUAGAUUCUCUAUCAGCCCCAUAGAUCCCCUAUGUCCAGUAGGGGUUAAUGGGGGUGUUUUGUAUUGGGGUCGGGGGGUGAGUGAGUGGUCAUUGGGGUCUAAUGGCGGUUUGUGGGAGGGGUCUGGGGGGUAUCAAUAGGGACUUAUGGGGUGUGUGGGGCUCAUCUUUAUUGGGGUCUAUGGGGUCUGUAGGGUGAAUAUUUUUAGGGCUCCGUGCGUCUGAUCUGUGGGGUGAGUAUCUAUAUGGGUUGGGGGGGGGGUGAGUGUCUAUGGGGCCCAUAGGGUUGGAUCUAUGGGGUUGGAUCUAUGGGGCCCAUAGGGUUGGAUCUAUGGGGUUGGAUCUAUGGGGCCCAUGGGGUUGGAUCUAUGGGGCCCAUUAGAUUAAAUCUAUGGGGCCCAUUUGGGGUUGGAUCUAUGGGGCCCAUUAGGUUAAAAUGUAUUGGGGCCCAUUGGGGCUUGGAUCUAAUUGGGGCCCAUGCGGGUUGGAUUCUUAUGGGGGCUCAUUGGGUUGGAUCUAUGGGGCCCUAUUAGAUGAAUUCUAUGGGGGCCCAUUUGGAUUGGAUCUAUGGGGCCCAUUAGAUUAAAUCUCUA